This 66-nucleotide transfer RNA is filed under the name Nacolus tuberculatus. RNAcentral describes it as "tRNA-Asn". Lineage: Eukaryota; Metazoa; Arthropoda; Insecta; Hemiptera; Cicadellidae. The record is from RNAcentral.
UUAAUUGAAACCAAAAUAGAGGUUACUUGUUGUUAACAAAUAUAAUGAUUAAUAAAUCCAAUUAAA